Molecule: long non-coding RNA, 255 nt
Filed under: Junco hyemalis (dark-eyed junco)
Lineage: Eukaryota; Metazoa; Chordata; Aves; Passeriformes; Passerellidae
Description: lncRNA (ENSJHYG00000009520.1)
Source: RNAcentral
UUCAUCAGGAUCACAGCUAACUCUGAAGAUUGACAAUAAGUUGCUCCUUUAGCUCAAAGAGCUUUCUUGCAAUUUCUCUUGCAAAGGACAUCUUUGUUUCCCCCUUCAACUUUUGUUGUAUUGCUGAAGGAUGGUCCAUGCCUUUCCCACAUCCUGUGGCACAGCAAGAGUAGCAGAGAAGAGAAGGCUUGAUUGUCAACAUCGCUCAAGGCAAAAAAUAACCAACAGCACAUUGUGUGGAAUUCAAGAAAGCAC